UACGUAGGGUGCGAGCGUUGUCCGGAAUUAUUGGGCGUAAAGAGCUCGUAGGCGGCUUGUCGCGUCGACUGUGAAAUCCCGAGGCUCAACCUCGGGUCUGCAGUCGAUACGGGCAAACUAGAGUAUUGCAGGGGAGAACGGAAUUCCUGGUGUAGCGGUGAAAUGCGCAGAUAUCAGGAGGAACACCGGUGGCGAAGGCGGUUCUCUGGGAAUGUCCUGACGCUGAGGAGCGAAAGUGUGGGGGAGCGAACAGG
Molecule: ribosomal RNA, 254 nt
Filed under: uncultured bacterium
Lineage: Bacteria
Description: partial 16S ribosomal RNA
Rfam family: Bacterial small subunit ribosomal RNA
Source: RNAcentral